GCUCAGGAUGAACGCUAGCUACAGGCUUAACACAUGCAAGUCGAGGGGUAGCAGGGUAGCAAUACCGCUGACGACCGGCGCACGGGUGAGUAACACGUAUCCAACCUUCCCAUAACUCGGGGAUAGCCUUUCGAAAGAAAGAUUAAUACCCGAUAGUACUUAACAAAGGCAUCUUUGAUAAGUUAAAGAUUUAUUGGUUAUGGAUGGGGAUGCGUUCCAUUAGAUAGUUGGUGAGGUAACGGCUCACCAAGUCUUCGAUGGAUAGGGGUUCUGAGAGGAAGGUCCCCCACAUUGGUACUGAGACACGGACCAAACUCCUACGGGAGGCAGCAGUGAGGAAUAUUGGUCAAUGGGCGAGAGCCUGAACCAGCCAAGUAGCGU
RNAcentral lists this ribosomal RNA (381 nucleotides) under uncultured Bacteroidales bacterium. RNAcentral's name for it is "bacterial SSU rRNA". It matches the Rfam family "Bacterial small subunit ribosomal RNA", at positions 22 to 402 of the family's 1533-position model. The record is from RNAcentral. Lineage: Bacteria; Pseudomonadati; Bacteroidota; Bacteroidia; Bacteroidales.